AAAAAUUAGUGGCAGACGGGUGAGUAAUGCAUAGGAAUCUACCUAGUAGUAUGGGAUAGCCACUAGAAAUGGUGGGUAAUACUGUAUAAUCCCUGCGGGGGAAAGAUUUAUCGCUAUUAGAUGAGCCUAUGUUAGAUUAGCUAGUUGGUAGGGUAAAGGCCUACCAAGGCAGUGAUCUAUAGCUGGUCUGAGAGGAUGAUCAGCCACACUGGAACUGAGAUACGGUCCAGACUCCUACGGGAGGCAGCAGUGGGGAAUAUUGGACAAUGGGCGCAAGCCUGAUCCAGCUAUGCCGCGUGAGUGAGGAAGGCCUUAGGGUUGUAAAACUCUUUCAGUGGGGAAGAUAAU
This 348-nucleotide ribosomal RNA is filed under the name Anaplasma platys. RNAcentral's name for it is "bacterial SSU rRNA". It matches the Rfam family "Bacterial small subunit ribosomal RNA", at positions 87 to 452 of the family's 1533-position model. Lineage: Bacteria; Pseudomonadati; Pseudomonadota; Alphaproteobacteria; Rickettsiales; Anaplasmataceae. The record is from RNAcentral.